This 851-nucleotide ribosomal RNA is filed under the name uncultured Neocallimastigales. Its description in RNAcentral is "partial large subunit ribosomal RNA". It matches the Rfam family "Eukaryotic large subunit ribosomal RNA", at positions 1 to 628 of the family's 3401-position model. The record is from RNAcentral. Lineage: Eukaryota; Fungi; Neocallimastigomycota; Neocallimastigomycetes; Neocallimastigales.
CGCAUCUGUGCAUGCAGCAUAUCAAUAAGCGGAGGAAAAGUAUGCUUAUACCUACGCUUAGGAUGUUGAGUCGUAGAGCACGCAUGACACACUGCAUAUCAAUAAGCGGAGGAAAAGAAACUAACAAGGAUUCCCCUAGUAACGGCGAGUGAAGCGGGAAGAGCUCAAAUUUGAAAUCUUAAAGGGUUUCCCUUUACGAAUUGUAGUUUAAAGAAGUGUUUUCUGUUGAGGUUUUGGUAAAAGUUCUUUGGAAUAGGACAUCAUAGAGGGUGAGAAUCCCGUAUUUGACCUUUACUUUCAACUUUGUGAUACACUUUCAAAGAGUCGGAUUGUUUGGGAAUGCAGUCCAAAAUGGGUGGUAAAUUUCAUCUAAAGCUAAAUAUUGGCGAGAGACCGAUAGCGAACAAUGUACCGUGAGGGAAAGAUGAAAAGAACUUUGAAAAGAGAGUUAAACAGUACGUGAAAUUGUCAAAAGGGAAGCGUUUGACACCAGUGUUGUUUUUCUGAAAAUCAAUUAAAGAACUGUUUAUGCUAAGUUGUUUAGACUUUAUCAGCUAACUGUUUAGUUUUGAGCUUUUCUUUAAUGCACUUUUCAGUUAACAAGUCAACAUCAAUUUCUUUUGCUGUAAAAAAGCUGAGGAAGGUGGCUUGAGAUUCGUCUUAAGUGUUUAUAGCCUCUUGCCUAUGCAGUCGGAGAGAUUGAGGUCUGCAGCGUAGAUCCUUCGGGGCUAAAUGCAUUUGUGCUAAGUUAUAGCAUUUUAUAGACAACUUGUUGACUAUGAUUUGUCUUGUAGCUUACUCGCUUAUGUUAUUUUACCUACGCUUAGGAUGUUGAGUCGUAGAGCACGCAG